This 395-nucleotide long non-coding RNA is filed under the name Zonotrichia albicollis (white-throated sparrow). Its description in RNAcentral is "lncRNA (ENSZALG00000001233.1)". The record is from RNAcentral. Lineage: Eukaryota; Metazoa; Chordata; Aves; Passeriformes; Passerellidae.
AUUUUUUUUAUUCUUUGGAAAGGAUCCCAGCAUCUCACAGCACCGGCAAGAGGGGUUGGAAUUUUUAAUCUUCUUCCACAGAAAGGAAGUUCAUAAAUUCUCAGAAAGAUCCGAUACAGAGCGGAGCUGAAGAGCAGGAAAAAGAAAAUAAAAAAAAAACCAUCCCAGAUUCUGGAAUUCUUGGAAGAGCGGCCUGGAACGAUGAAGGAUUUAUUGAGGAGGAAAAAAUGGCUUUGGAAAACCUGGAACAGAAAUCACUGAUCGCUCAUUUUUUGGGGUUUUUUUCAGCAUUUAAAAAUUGGAUUAUUCCGGAUUAUCCUGAGCGGGGAAUGGUGAGAAUUCCAGGGAAUUGCAGCGUUGGGAAUUCGGGAUUGGAAUUUUUUUUUCCUGCCAGA